GGAGAGAUGGCCGAGUGGUUCAAGGCGUAGCAUUGGAAUUGCUAUGUCGAAUCCCUCUCUU
Solanum lycopersicum (tomato) is the source of this 61-nucleotide non-coding RNA. Lineage: Eukaryota; Viridiplantae; Streptophyta; Magnoliopsida; Solanales; Solanaceae. The record is from Rfam.